This 3638-nucleotide ribosomal RNA is filed under the name Drosophila erecta. RNAcentral describes it as "eukaryotic LSU rRNA". It matches the Rfam family "Eukaryotic large subunit ribosomal RNA". The record is from RNAcentral. Lineage: Eukaryota; Metazoa; Arthropoda; Insecta; Diptera; Drosophilidae.
GCAUAAAAAAUUGAAUUAUUUUUCAUCUAGAAUUGUCUCUUAUUAAUGAUUCGGAAAUAGAAAAAACUUGGCUAUGUUAUUAUUCUUCGUUGGUUCGUUUAAUGGAAAACACUUUCUUACAAGAAAUAAUUUAAUAAAAUGUUUUUAUCAAUAUAUAUCAGUUAUUAAUUAAUGGCAAGAAAAAGUUAUAUACAACCUCAACUCAUAUGGGACUACCCCCUGAAUUUAAGAAUAUUAAUUAGGGGAGGAAAAGAAACUAACAAGGAUUUUCUUAGUAGCGGCGAGCGAAAAGAAAACAGUUCUGCACUAAUUCACUUUGUCUAUAUGGCAAAUGUGAGAUGUAGUGUAUGGAGCGUGAGUAGUAUGAGAAAUUAACGCUUAUAAGGUGCCAGGCCCGUAUAAAGUUAAUGAUUACUAGAUGAUGUUUCCAAAGAGUUGCUUGAUAGUGCAGCACUAAGUGGGUGGUAAACUCCAUCUAAAACUAAAUAUAACCAUGUGACCGAUAGUAAACAAGUACCGUGAGGGAAAGUUGAAAAGAUCUCUGAAUAGAGAGUUAAACAGUACGUGAAACUGCUUAGAGGUUAAGCCCGAUGAACCUGAAUAUCCGUUAUGGAAAAUUCAUCAUUAAAAUUCUAAUAUUUAAAUAAUAUUAUGAGGAUAGUGUGCAUUUUUUCCAUAUAAGGGCAUUGUAAUCUAUUAGCAUAUACCAAAUAAUUAUCAUUGAUUUUUGUGUGAAAGAUUCAGGAUACCUUCGGGACCCGUCUUGAAACACGGACCAAGGAGUCUAACAUAUGGGCAAGUUAUUGGGAUAUAAACCUAAUAGCGUAAUUAACUUCACUAAUAAUGGGAAUAGUUUAUUAACUAUUUAUAGCCAAUUAACACAAUCCCGGGGAGUUCUAUAUAGUUAUGUAUAAUGUAUAUUUAUAUUAUUUAUGCCUCUAACUGGAACGUACCUUGAGCAUAUAUGCUGUGACCCGAAAGAUGGUGAACUAUACUUGAUCAGGUUGAAGUCAGGGGAAACCCUGAUGGAAGACCGAAACAGUUCUUGCAAAUCGAUUGUCAGAAUUGAGUAUAGGGGCGAAAGACCGAUCGAACGAUCUAGUAGCUGGUUCCUUCCGAAGUUUCACUCAGGAUAGCUGGUGCAUUUUAAUAUUAUAUAAAAUAAUCUUAUCUGGUAAAGCGAAUGAUUAGAGGGCUUAGGGUCGAAACGAUCUUAACCUAUUCUCAAACUUUAAGUGGGUAAGAACCUUAACUUUCUUGAUAUGAAGUUCAAGGUUAUGAUAUAAUGUGCCCAGUGGGCCACUUUUGGUAAGCAGAACUGGCGCUGUGGGAAGAACCAAACGUAAUGUUACGGUGCCCAAAUUAACAACUCAUGCAGAUAACAUGAAAGGCGUUGCUUGCUUAAAACAGCAGGACGGUGAUCAUGGAAGUCAUGCCAUUGGUACAGAUCUUGGUGGUAGUAGUAAAUAAUCGAUAGAAUAAUGUAGGUAAGGGAAGUCGGCAAAUUAAAUCCGUAACUUGGGGAUAACGAUUGGCUCUGAAGAUUGAGAUAGUCGGGCUUGAUUGGGAAACAAUAACAUGGUUUAUGUGCUCGUUCUGGGUAAAUAGAGUUUCUAGCAUUUAUGUUAGUUACUUGUUCCCCGGAUAGUUUAGUUACGUAGCCAAUUGUGGAACUUUCUUGCUAAAAUUUUUAAGAAUAUUUUUUGGGUUAAACCAAUUAGUUCUUAUUAAUUAUAACGAUUAUCAAUUAACAAUCAAUUCAGAACUGGCACGGACUUGGGGAAUCCGACUGUCUAAUUCAAACAAAGCAUUGUGAUGGCCCUAGCGGGUGUUGACACAAUGUGAUUUCUGCCCAGUGCUCUGAAUGUCAAAGUGAAGAAAUUCAAGACUUCAAGAAAUUCCUACUGUCCCUAUCUACUUACUGUCAGUGACGGACGUGUUUUCUACGAGCUCCCAUUAAUAAGGUCAUUUUUGGUGUAAGUCCGCGGUAUGACACCGCCGCACAGGUAGCUGCCAGAAGGCGACUGUCCUCCUGCCAUAGACUGAUCCUGCUUGGAUGUCUAUCGGUAUACCGAACAGUGUUCACCGCGGCACUUCAGGUUCUUGGUGGAGCCCCUCCGCUUGACUUGGCUGCUAAGAAAUUAGCAGUCAAAUACAAGCUGAAGCGUGGAUACCCGCUGGAGGAGAACGACUAGCUCUAUGGCGAGGAGAUUGCACGUCUAAGCCGGGAGCAAAAAGAGAUUCGCCUAGAGGAAUGCGACUAAGGCGACUAAUGCGGCAAUAGCUCACUCCGCCCGUGCUUGUCGGCUAGGUAGAACUCGCUCCUCAGCAAGGGGGAGUGCUUGCCCGGCAAGCAAGUGCUCGAAUUGCUACCGGGGUGGUUGCUAUGUACAUAGCUAUAGCUUCCAGACCGGCACGUUUUGUCUAGCGUAUCUGGACACAUACAUUAUAUGCGCACUUGUGGGUGUAUAGGGUGCCGUGGUUGUAAUCCCUUCAGUGUGGAACACGCCACGUAAAUCAAGUUCGGAGGGAUCCGAUUCAAACCCUGUCCCUAUCUACUAUCUAGCGAAACCACAGCCAUGGGAAAGGGCUUGGAAUAAUUAGCGGGGAAAGACCCUUUUGAGCUUGACUCUAAUCUGGCAGUGUAAGGAGACAUAAGAGGUGUAGAAUAAGUGGGAGAUAUUAGACCUCGGUUUGGUAGCGUCAAUGAAAUACCACUACUCUUAUUGUUUCCUUACUAACUUGAUUCAAUGGAACGUAUAUCAUUUCCUAGCCAUUAUACGGAUAUAUUUAUUAUAUCUUAUGGUAUUGGGUUUUGAUGCAAGCUUCUUGAUCAAAGUAUCACGAGUUUGUUAUAUAAUCGCAAACAAAUUCUUUAAUAAAACGAUGCAUUUAUGUAUUUUUGAUUUGAAAAUUUGGUAUAACUCCAAUUACACAGGUAUGAUUCAAUUCAAGGACAUUGCCAGGUAGGGAGUUUGACUGGGGCGGCACAUCUCUCCAAUAAUAACGGAGGUGUCCCAAGGCCAGCUCAGUGCGGACAGAAACCACACAUAGAGCAAAAGGGCAAAUGCUGACUUGAUCUCGGAGUUCAGUACACACAGGGUCAGCAAAAGCUCGGCCUAUCUUUUGGUUUAAAGAGUUUUUAACAAGAGGUGUCAGAAAAGUUACCAUAGGGAUAUCUGGCUUGUGGCGGCCAAGCGUUUAUAGUGAUCAUUGUGAAGCAAAAUUCACCAAACGUUGGAUUGUUCACCCAUGCAAGGGAAGGUGAACUGGGUUUAGACCGUCGUGAGACAGGUUAGUUUUACCAUACUAAUGACAAAACGUUGUUGCGACAGCAUUCCUGCGUAGUACGAGAGGAACCGCCGGUACGGUCCAAUGGCACAAUACUUGUUCGAGCGAACAGUGGUAUGACGCUAAGUCCGUUGGAUUAUGCCUGAACGCCUCUAAGGUCGUAUCCGUGCUGGACUGCAAUGAUAAAUAAGGGGCAAUUUGCAUUGUAUGGCUUCUAAACCAUUUAAAGUUUAUAAUUUACUUUAUAAACGGCAAUGGAUGUGAUGCCAAUGUAAUUUGUAACAUAGUAAAUUGGGAGGAUCUUCGAUCACCUGAUGCCGCGCUAGUUACAUAUAAAACCAUUAUUU